Molecule: small RNA, 79 nt
Filed under: uncultured Bacteroides sp.
Lineage: Bacteria; Pseudomonadati; Bacteroidota; Bacteroidia; Bacteroidales; Bacteroidaceae
Description: Bacteroides-1 RNA
Rfam family: Bacteroides-1 RNA
Source: RNAcentral
AUGCAAAUCGCCUGAUAGUUGCUUGUUGGUAUGCGAAUAUAUACAAGUCAGCGAAUAUGCCUCCCCGGCAUAACAGGAA